Molecule: ribosomal RNA, 742 nt
Filed under: uncultured bacterium
Lineage: Bacteria
Description: bacterial SSU rRNA
Rfam family: Bacterial small subunit ribosomal RNA
Source: RNAcentral
GCGAGCGGCGGAUGGGUGAGUAACACGUGGGGAACCUGCCCCUAAGUCUGGGAUACCAUUUGGAAACAGGUGCUAAUACCGGAUAAUAAAGCAGAUCGCAUGAUCAGCUUUUGAAAGGCGGCGUAAGCUGUCGCUAAGGGAUGGCCCCGCGGUGCAUUAGCUAGUUGGUAAGGUAACGGCUUACCAAGGCGACGAUGCAUAGCCGAGUUGAGAGACUGAUCGGCCACAUUGGGACUGAGACACGGCCCAAACUCCUACGGGAGGCAGCAGUAGGGAAUCUUCCACAAUGGACGCAAGUCUGAUGGAGCAACGCCGCGUGAGUGAAGAAGGUUUUCGGAUCGUAAAGCUCUGUUGUUGGUGAAGAAGGAUAGAGGUAGUAACUGGCCUUUAUUUGACGGUAAUCAACCAGAAAGUCACGGCUAACUACGUGCCAGCAGCCGCGGUAAUACGUAGGUGGCAAGCGUUGUCCGGAUUUAUUGGGCGUAAAGCGAGCGCAGGCGGAAAAAUAAGUCUAAUGUGAAAGCCCUCGGCUUAACCGAGGAACUGCAUCGGAAACUGUUUUUCUUGAGUGCAGAAGAGGAGAGUGGAACUCCAUGUGUAGCGGUGGAAUGCGUAGAUAUAUGGAAGAACACCAGUGGCGAAGGCGGCUCUCUGGUCUGCAACUGACGCUGAGGCUCGAAGCAUGGGUAGCGAACAGGAUUAGAUACCCUGGUAGUCCAUGCCCGUAAACGAUGAGUGCUAA